This 253-nucleotide ribosomal RNA is filed under the name uncultured bacterium. Its description in RNAcentral is "partial 16S ribosomal RNA". It matches the Rfam family "Bacterial small subunit ribosomal RNA", at positions 524 to 776 of the family's 1533-position model. The record is from RNAcentral.
UACGUAGGGCGCAAGCGUUAUCCGGAAUUAUUGGGCGUAAAGAGCUCGUAGGCGGUUUGUCGCGUCUGCUGUGAAAGACCGGGGCUCAACUCCGGUUCUGCAGUGGGUACGGGCAGACUGGAGUGAUGUAGGGGAGACUGGAAUUCCUGGUGUAGCGGUGAAAUGCGCAGAUAUCAGGAGGAACACCGAUGGCGAAGGCAGGUCUCUGGGCAUUAACUGACGCUGAGGAGCGAAAGCAUGGGGAGCGAACAGG